This is an RNA transcript of Engraulis encrasicolus (European anchovy), 3013 nucleotides long. It is a transcript of the gene named scavenger receptor class B, member 2c, with no coding region annotated. The record is from RefSeq and is a predicted model, not a curated record. NCBI's taxonomy places the organism in Eukaryota, Metazoa, Chordata, Actinopteri, Clupeiformes, Engraulidae. The transcript is spliced from 12 exons.
AUGCCCGUCUCCGACUGUACCAAAACAAGUCUGGUGAUCAACUUUUUUCGUUGAAACUCGUUUAUUUUCAGCAACUACAACAAUUUUAACAGUUUUAUAAUUUAAUAUAAACGAAUUAGUCGGUACUCUUGGUAUCGAUGCAAUAACAACUGAAGACGAGAAAGAAGGCGUGUAGACUACAUUUUACAUCAAGCGAAUAUCUUUGUCUCAGAAUGUUAUGACAGGCGGCGGACCUAGCGCAGUGAUCAUCAAGUCGGACAAAAACAGGACUAUUUACGGAAUCUUAUUUUCGUGUCCAAUUACUGGAUCAGAAAAGUGCAUUAUGUUGAAGUCUUGCUGUGUAUACAGCACGGGGGUGCUAUGUAUACUUUUGUUAAUAGCUGGCAUAGCGCUAGUGAUGGCGCAUAUCUUCCCAAACAUUGUGCACAGCAGGAUAAAAUCGGAGGUGGUUUUGAAGAAUGGCACACUCGCAUUUGCAGCGUGGGAAAAUCCGCCGCCGCCAGUUUACAUGCAGUUUUAUUUCUUUAAUUUGACCAACCCGAUUGAAGUUCUGGCUGGAAAGAGGCCUGCCGUGGUGGAGCUGGGACCUUACACCUAUAGAGAAUACCGGCCGAUGGCGAAUGUGACUUUCCUGGAAAACGGCACCAAAGUGGAGGCAGUGAAUCCCAAGACCUACGUGUUUGAGCCCAGCAUGUCAAAAGGCACAGAGCAGGAUCUCAUCAGAACAGUGAACAUCCCAGCCAUGACUGUCAUGGAGAAGGUGAAAGACAUGCCCAUCAUCAACACUCUGGUCUCCAAGUUCAUGGAAGGGGAGGACAUCGGCCUCUUCACCACCCUGUCCGUGGGGGACCUACUCUGGGGAUACAAGGACUUACUCUUGGAGGAGGUGGCCAAGAUGGACCACUCCAUAGACCCCGUAUUCGGCCUCUUCCACAAUAUGAACGCAACAAACGAUGGUGACUAUGUGUUCUACACCGGCUCCCAGAACUAUGAAGACUUUGCCAAGGUGGUGACAUGGAAAGGCCAAAGUUCUCUGGACUUUUGGACGUCGGAUGAGUGCAACAUGAUCAACGGCACCACCGGCGCCGCCUUCCACCCCAUCAUCAACAAGAGUGAACCCCUCUUCAUGUUCUCCUCCGACCUCUGCAGGUCUAUAUAUGCUACCUAUGAGAAGGAUGUGUGGGUGGAGCACCUGCCAGCCUACCGUUUCGUGCCUCCAUAUGAGGUCUUUGCUAACCUGACCAUCACCCCUGCCAACGCAGGCUUCUGUGUCCCGCCCGGAAACUGCCUCGGAUCGGGGCUCCUCAACGUCAGCCCUUGCAAACAGGGAGCUCCAAUCAUCAUGUCCUCGCCGCACUUCUAUCAGGCCGACCAGAAGUUUGUGGAUGACAUCUUCGGGAUGAACCCCAAGAAGGAGUAUCAUGAGACGGCCAUCGACAUUAACCCGCUGACUGGUAUUGUGGUGCAAGCUGCAAAGAGGCUGCAGGUCAACGUCAUGGUGGAGAAGAUUGCCGUCUUCAGUAAGCAGACGGGUGAUGUCCAGUCCCUGGUGUUCCCUGUGGUGUACCUCAAUGAAAGCGUGGUGAUAGACGAGGCGUCGGCUAAGCAGCUGUAUGCGGUGGUGCUGGAGGCGGACGUGGUGAUGAACGUGCCCUGGUCUUAUUGAUCAUAUCUGAUAUUAUAUUACAUUAUAUCAUUUGGUCCUAUAGAGCGUGGUGAUAGACGAGGCGUCGGCUGAGCAGCUGUAUGCGGUGGUGCUGGAGGCGGACGUGGUGAUGAACGUGCCCUUCAUCGUCAUCGGGCUGGGCAUCCUGCUGGGCAUCUUCUUCAUGGUCCUCAUGUGCAGCAGACCCAAAGAACAGAGCUCCCCCGCCGAGCGCGAGCCCCUGCUGAAGCCUUAGGAGUCAACCAGGAAAAGUCGUCCCGGCCGCGAGUGCGACCUCUGGGCACGGACACCUGGCCGCAGGGACGCCUGCCUGGGGCCUCUCUGAGGUAGCGAAUGACACAGUACAUUUGUCUGUGUUAACUCCACACAUAGAGAGUAGAAUCGACACUGCACGUGUUAGCUGAGUGAGUGACCAGCAAAUUGUUGGUGUUUCAGUUAUUUUGAGGUUUAAAUUCGACUCUCUUAAGUGUUGAUUGAAUUACCACUGCUAAAUGUACUGUGUAGCGAGCUACUUAGGUAGGCCCAGCCUCCUCAAAAUGUCUUCAUGUUCGUGCAACAGCCAACGGACAAACAAACACGCUGCCCAAGCCUGGCGUAGUCGUCAUAACCACCUUUCAUCGUAACAUGCUUCCUGAAUGGCACUUUAUACCACUUCCCCUCCAAACUGGGUUUCCUAUUCCUAUUUUUGACCAACCGCUGGUUUGUUUUUGUUUUGUGUUUUUAGAAAGCUAUCCUUGCGGAAUAGAAGGGUGUGGCAUUAAGAAGCAUAGUUGAGCUUUUUUUGUUUUGUUUUGAGUUGUCUUGUUUUUUAAAAGAAACGUUUUAAUAUUGUUAUUUUAUGGUGUGAUAUUAAUUCUGUUUUUUGUCAUAUUGUCAUAUUGUCUUGUGUUUUUUAUUGUUUUUAUUGAUUAGCUGCUCUUUGUGUUUUUCUUUUAAAGCAAAAGAGAGAUGUAAAAGAUGAGAUCAUAUGACAAGAGUAGACACAUUUUGGGAAGAACAUGUAAAAUUAAAGAAGAUUUUUUCCAAAUGCUACUGAUAAUAACUUGAGUUCUGAAAAUAUGAUCAGAUUUUUAAGUGCAUAAGCCCAUGAAACUGGUUCAGAAGCAGCUAGUAGGGGUCUGCCUCGUCCGGCCGUCUUUGGACGUGGGCAUGCAGAGAUACAGUAAUGUUUGCGGAGGAUGUUUGGAGAAGGAGAGGGUGCUUGUGAGGAGGUGAAUGAAUGUGUUGGCUGAUGACCAGGUAUGAAGCAGUAUUGCACUAUGUGGGGUAGAUGUGGGCUUUGAGGGACAGGAGCUCCUGCUCCUGAAAUCACAAUCAAAAAAAAAAAAGAAAAGAAAAAGGAAAUAA